RNAcentral lists this long non-coding RNA (2173 nucleotides) under Gossypium barbadense (sea-island cotton). Its description in RNAcentral is "long non-coding RNA (GBAR_LNC015466)". Lineage: Eukaryota; Viridiplantae; Streptophyta; Magnoliopsida; Malvales; Malvaceae. The record is from RNAcentral.
AAAGUUUUCUCGUAUUCAAAUUGUUACAAGUUCGAAUUGACACAAGUAAUCUUAUUUUACCAGCUCUAGCUUAAAGUACAAUUAAAAUAUUUUUAUAUUCCUCCAUAAAUACAAACUUCUUUAUUUGGCUAACAAUAAAAGCAUCUAAGCCAAUGAACAACUUACAUAAUACAAUUGCUAGAGUAAGAAACUAAAUUUUAAUUAGUGGAAAAUGCGAUUCAUGAUAGUUAAUUGUUUAUGACACUAUAAUCAUAAAAUUAUUCUAAUUGAAUUGCAGGUAGAAACAGCCUGGUACAUUCAAACGAAGACUUUUCACAACUCGUUUCUUCUUCUUCGUUUCGUACACCAAAACCAACUCUAAUUGCGAGUCAAACAUGCAGUCCUAAACAUUGUCUAUAUAACUUCAAUCAAACUAACAAUCAGUAAGAAACUCUUAAACAGCCCCUCCGAAAGUACUGUGUAGUCUGUCCCGAUGCCAAAAUAUUCCAAGCACUGCUUUUCCUUUUUUCCCUUCCUUCUCUUUUCAUAUGUUUUGAUUGGCUUCACCAUAAAAUUAGAAACUGCUAGCAGUAGUGGACUAUACGGAACCAGGGAUUCAACCAGGUUAGUGUAUAAUAUCGGUGUAGUUGUUGAUGUGAACUCAAACAUGGGUGCUAUGGCGAAUAUAUGCUUGUCGAUGGCUCUUUCAGAUUUUUAUGCCAAACAUCCAAAUUAUGAAACCAGAUUAUCUCUGCAAAGAUGGGAAUCGCUUGGUGCCGUUGCUGCAGCGCCAGCAGGUAAGUUUGGGACCUUCUGUCAUAUAAUUUUCCAUCACGGAUAAAGAUAUUUUAGUUUUUUAGGGUAAAGUACCCAAUUCACGUUAAAGUGUUAAUGUGAGUUUUUUUUAUUGGUCUAAUAACAAUUUUAACUUUCUAAAGUUUACACAUUCUAUUAAUUUGACUUUAAAUAUUAAAAAAUUUAAUAAAUUUAACCUUUAAUAUUUACAAAAUCUAACAUUUUAACUCCCUAAAAUAUAUAAUUUUUUCAGAAAAUAAGUAAACUUAUGCAUCAUAUAAUAAGCUAAACAAUGAAAAAAAAAAGUGGUAUGUACAAUAAAACGGGAAAAUAAAAGGAAUGAAAGUUAGCACCUUGCGAACAAGCAAUAUUUUUGCAGUCAAAUAGGAGAAACUAGAAACAAAUCAUUUUUGCCCCAACUGAAACUGCUUCUUUUAAAAUGAAACUUGAGCCCACAAAUAUUAUAUAUAUACAUAAAUCCUUAUAUUAAUUUCCAUUUUUGCUUUUUAGAGGUGAAUAUAAACUAUAAAGUAUAAUGCAAUUAUCAAAAAUUGAAUUGAUGUUUUUGAUAAAAAUAGUAAAUUAAUACUAAUUUCUUUUAAAUUUAAAUUAUUUUCAUAUUUUUUUUAAAAUACGCAAAUAAUUAAAUCAAAUUCAAUCAUGGUAGUUGGAAGUCCUUUUUAAUUUAUUGAAUUUAUUUUUUUUAGAUUGAUACAAAAAUAAUUACAAGUUUUAUUAAAAAUUUUAAAUUAAAUUAUACUAAAAAAAGAAGGUAUUGUCUUUCUCUUUGACAAGGUAGUGGAGAAAUUUGAGAUGAGAUCAUUGGCAGAGGUCAUCUGAGUGGCGACGACUCGAAGAAUUAACAUGGUUUGAUCUGAUUGGACAAGAAAUGAAUAAAUUAUAUAAUUCUUAAAACAUCAAAAAUGAUAUAUUUUGUAAACAUUGAGUAUUAAAUUUAUUGGGUUUUUUAAAAUUUGAACUAAAAACAAAGGACUAAAUUUAUUGAAAUUUUUAUUUUUAGAAUCAAAUUGAUAUAAUUUGUAAAUAUUAGAGGGCUAAAUUUGUUUUUAGACAAUAAAAAAAACCCAUGUAAAUACUUCCAUCAAAAUUUAAACGCGUUCAAUGACAAAUAUUUUUGAUUUUGAAUAGUUUAAUAACUAAAUAAAAAAAUUAAAAAAAUCCAUCAUCAAAAUAAUACAUUAGUAAACAUUUUUAUACUUCACCUUAAUUUUAUGAUAAACUAGAAUGAGGCUUAAUCCCACUUUUAGUUAUUUUCUCCAUCUUCUCAACUGAAGUGAUUGCAAGAAGUUUAACUCACUCUUCAAAUUCAUUUCAUAUAAACAUCAUAAAUGCUGAAACCAACAAAUUUAUAUAAAUUACUAAAUGCUUAGCAAGUGGG